RNAcentral lists this ribosomal RNA (497 nucleotides) under uncultured bacterium. Its description in RNAcentral is "partial 16S ribosomal RNA". It matches the Rfam family "Bacterial small subunit ribosomal RNA", at positions 28 to 507 of the family's 1533-position model. The record is from RNAcentral.
GAUGAACGCUGGCGGCGUGCCUAAUACAUGCCAGUCGAGCGAACGGACGAGAAGCUUGCUUUUCUGAUGUUAGCGGCGGACGGGUGAGUAACACGUGGAUAACCUACCUAUAAGACUGGGAUAACUUCGGGAAACCGGAGCUAAUACCGGAUAAUAUUUUGAACCGCAUGGUUCAAAAGUGAAAGACGGUCUUGCUGUCACUUAUAGAUGGAUCCGCGCUGCAUUAGCUAGUUGGUAAGGUAACGGCUUACCAAGGCAACGAUGCAUAGCCGACCUGAGAGGGUGAUCGGCCACACUGGAACUGAGACACGGUCCAGACUCCUACGGGAGGCAGCAGUAGGGAAUCUUCCGCAAUGAGCGAAAGCCUGACGGAGCAACGCCGCGUGAGUGAUGAAGGUCUUCGGAUCGUAAAACUCUGUUAUUAGGGAAGAACAUAUGUGUAAGUAACUGUGCACAUCUUGACGGUACCUAAUCAGAAAGCCACGGCUAACUACGUG